This 529-nucleotide ribosomal RNA is filed under the name uncultured bacterium. RNAcentral describes it as "bacterial SSU rRNA". It matches the Rfam family "Bacterial small subunit ribosomal RNA", at positions 979 to 1509 of the family's 1533-position model. The record is from RNAcentral.
CCUUGACAUCCAGAGAACUUAGCAGAGAUGCUUUGGUGCCUUCGGGAACUCUGAGACAGGUGCUGCAUGGCUGUCGUCAGCUCGUGUUGUGAAGUGUUGGGUUAAGUCCGCAACGAGCGCAACCCUUAUCCUUUGUUGCCAGCGGUUCGGCCGGGAACUCAAAGGAGACUGCCGGUGAUAAACCGGAGGAAGGUGGGGAUGACGUCAAGUCAUCAUGGCCCUUACGGCCAGGGCUACACACGUGCUACAAUGGCGCAUACAAAGAGAAGCGACCUCGCGAGAGCAAGCGGACCUCAUAAAGUGCGUCGUAGUCCGGAUUGGAGUCUGCAACUCGACUCCAUGAAGUCGGAAUCGCUAGUAAUCGUAGAUCAGAAUGCUACGGUGAAUACGUUCCCGGGCCUUGUACACACCGCCCGUCACACCAUGGGAGUGGGUUGCAAAAGAAGUAGGUAGCUUAACCUUCGGGAGGGCGCUUACCACUUUGUGAUUCAUGACUGGGGUGAAGUCGUAACAAGGUAGGCGUAGACGU